Molecule: long non-coding RNA, 524 nt
Organism: Armigeres subalbatus
Lineage: Eukaryota; Metazoa; Arthropoda; Insecta; Diptera; Culicidae
Exons: 3
Source: RefSeq, a predicted model, not a curated record
UUUAACUUGGUGUUUUUGUUUCUUUAAUUAGAUGUUAGUCAGUUAGUAAAAACGGCUAAUUGUAGUACGUCGAAUUAAAAUUGUGUUAGUAAAAGUUAUGAUUGUAAAAAUCCGAUUGUUAAAAGUUAAUUGUUCAAACACAAACAUCGACAAACAAGAAGAAACUAUAAGAAAAAGGUCCGAGGCAAGGGCCUUUUUCUUUCAUUUUGGGCUUUUUCCCAGCAAACGGCCGGAGAAAGCGACGACGAGCCACCUCUAGCGACGCACCAACUCCAAUGCCAGCCAUAAGACGCUAUUGUUGAUGGCAUCCCACGGUUCGAACGCCUAUGAACCCCCUCACCCGGCGACAAGCUCCCCUGCAACCAUCCGCCAUUGCGAAAGCGGCAUAUUCGCCUUUGGACUCCGCACCAUCUCGCCCGGUUGCUACCAGUAAUCGGCGACUGCGGCAAUCCGCCUUGGAUUCUGGCGCAGAUACCCAACACCAGUUCGGCAUUCGCUGUCGAAUCGAACCUGCAUCAAUCGGA